Long non-coding RNA from Astatotilapia calliptera (eastern happy), 877 nucleotides. Lineage: Eukaryota; Metazoa; Chordata; Actinopteri; Cichliformes; Cichlidae. The record is from Ensembl.
GAAACACGGCGGCUCAAACGCUCAAAAGUUUGGUUAUACUUUACGAGAGCGGAUGACAACAGGGCAACUUUCAAUACUUGCAAAGUAGAUAUUUCAUUUAAGGGAGGAAACACUACGAAUAUGCAAAAGCAUUUGCUCACAAAACACACGAUGACCUUAAAUGAAUGUCGUGGUUUUAAUUCAGCUCGUGAAUCUCAACCCAGCAGCAGCGGUAACGUUUGCACGUCCUCUCCCGUUAAUGCGGCAGGUGACCAUGAUGAGAGAGACAGAGUCUGGCUGGCGCUCGCUGGCAGUUCUCGCUGCAGUCUACCGGUAGCGUCUCCUUUCAGGCCAGGAUAGACGAAUGUCACCGAGCAGUGACUAAGUUUGUGGUCAAAGGCUUGCCACAGCAGAUGCCCCGAUUUUCAACCCUAGAGAUGGGAUUGUGUGAGAAACUCCCAGCAGAUCCCGUCUCAAAAUUCCAUCUCAGCAAUUUCUGAAACAGUCAGACCAGCCAGUCUGGCACCAGCAAUAACCACAUUAGUUAGAUCACUUUUCUGCCCCAAUUUGAUGCUGUCUUUGAACAGUUCAGCAGGUCAUCUCCACCCUGUCUACAUGCUUAAAUGCAGUUGCUGCCAUAUGAUUGGCUGAUUAGAUAUUAGCGUUAAUGUGCAGUUGAACAGGUAUACCUAAUAAAGUGUCCGAUGCUCGAGGAGGAGGAGAACGCUGUAAUCCUUGUGCACCGUAGAGGUCAAGUCCAUGUCAUCGCAGUGGCUGCAGAAGCCAAACAGCUCAUUCACAAAAGCAGCAGCAUCCUCAGUGUAUCCCUUUGAAAUGCGCUGUGCACACGAUUGCAAGCUCCAGGGAAACUCACUCCCGGCUGACUGUGAGACCUCGG